AACUGAGAGAGUAAAGUGGCGCACGGGUGAGUAACGCGUGGGUAAUCUGCCUUGGAGACAGGAAUAACACCUCGAAAGGGGUGCUAAUACCGGAUAAUAUCCAUGAGACUCCGGUCUUGGGGAUCAAAGGUGGUUGAUGCUUGCAAGCUAUUGCUCCAAGAUGAGCCCGCGUACCAUUAGCUAGUUGGUGGGGUAAUGGCUCACCAAGGCUAUGAUGGUUAGCUGGUCUGAGAGGAUGGCCAGCCACACUGGAACUGAGAUACGGUCCAGACUCCUACGGGAGGCAGCAGUGAGGAAUCUUGCGCAAUGGGGGAAACCCUGACGCAGCAACGCCGCGUGAGUGAUGAAGGCCUUCGGGUCGUAAAGCUCUGUCAGAUGGGAAGAAGGGGGCAGUGGUAAACAAUCGCUGACCCUUGACGGUACCGUCAAAGGAAGCACCGGCUAACUCCGUGCCAGCAGCCGCGGUAA
RNAcentral lists this ribosomal RNA (468 nucleotides) under uncultured delta proteobacterium. Its description in RNAcentral is "bacterial SSU rRNA". It matches the Rfam family "Bacterial small subunit ribosomal RNA", at positions 80 to 523 of the family's 1533-position model. Lineage: Bacteria; Deltaproteobacteria. The record is from RNAcentral.